Molecule: ribosomal RNA, 211 nt
Filed under: Giardia duodenalis
Lineage: Eukaryota; Fornicata; Diplomonadida; Hexamitidae
Description: Giardia intestinalis partial small subunit ribosomal RNA
Source: RNAcentral
CAUCCGGUCGAUCCUGCCGGAAUCCGACGCUUUCCCCAAGGACACAAGCCAUGCAUGCCCGCUCACCCGGGASGCGGCGGACGGCUCAGGACAACGGUUGCACCCCCCGCGGCGGUCCCUGCUAGCCGGACACCGCUGGCAACCCGGCGCCAAGACGUGCGCGCAAGKGCGGGCGCCCGCGGGCGAGCAGCGUGACGCAGCGACGGCCCGC